Molecule: long non-coding RNA, 521 nt
Filed under: Citrus x clementina
Lineage: Eukaryota; Viridiplantae; Streptophyta; Magnoliopsida; Sapindales; Rutaceae
Description: Citrus clementina (C. clementina) long non-coding RNA (CCLE_LNC000032)
Source: RNAcentral
GGGUCAGUUGUCUUGGGAGCAGGGAGUUCACCAGUGAUGUAGCCCAGUUUACCACGCCCACAAAUCACAAUCUUGACUGACUGUGCCCAUUGUAGGUAGUUUCUACCAUUUAAUUUGUGGGCUGUAAUAUGAAGAGAUGCAUCGCUUCCGGAAAGAGAAGCAAUUGGGAUGGAACUAGGCUCAGCCAUAGAUUGGCUAGAUGUUGAAGAUCCGGUAUUGUCACCAGAUGAGAUGUCGACUUCUUUUCCAGCCAUAAGAGACAAUUAGUCCUUAGGCUCUGAUACCAUGUAAAUUCACAGAUUAGAAUGAAUAAUUUCUGUAUUUUAUUGAUGAGAAUUACUCCUCUUUAAAUAGAUUACAGGAGAAUAAAUCAAAUCCCACAAAAUCAGAGCUAUAACAGCUAGAAAUCUAAUUCUAAGGAAACAAAUCAGUAAACCUAUUUAAGGAAAUAAAUCUUGCCAAAUAACAUAGAUCCUAAUAUAUACAAUUCUAAUUAUGUAUAAUUCUGAUUUCAUCCACAA